GACGAACGCUGGCGGCGUGCUUAACACAUGCCAGUCGAACGGAAAGGCCCUGCUUUUGUGGGGUGCUCGAGUGGCGAACGGGUGAGUAACACGUGAGUAACCUGCCCUUGACUUUGGGAUAACUUCAGGAAACUGGGGCUAAUACCGGAUAGGAGCUCCUGCUGCAUGGUGGGGGUUGGAAAGUUUCGGCGGUUGGGGAUGGACUCGCGGCUUAUCAGCUUGUUGGUGGGGUAGUGGCUUACCAAGGCUUUGACGGGUAGCCGGCCUGAGUGGGUGACCGGCCACAUUGGGACUGAGGUACGGCCCAGACUCCUACGGGAGGCAGCAGUGGGGAAUAUUGCACAAUGGGCGGAAGCCUGAUGCAGCAACGCCGCGUGCGGGAUGACGGCCUUCGGGUUGUAAACCGCUUUCGCCUGUGACGAAGCGUGAGUGACGGUACUGGGUAAAGAAGCACCGGCUAACUACGUG
RNAcentral lists this ribosomal RNA (468 nucleotides) under uncultured bacterium. Its description in RNAcentral is "partial 16S ribosomal RNA". It matches the Rfam family "Bacterial small subunit ribosomal RNA", at positions 28 to 507 of the family's 1533-position model. The record is from RNAcentral.